Molecule: ribosomal RNA, 253 nt
Filed under: uncultured bacterium
Lineage: Bacteria
Description: partial 16S ribosomal RNA
Rfam family: Bacterial small subunit ribosomal RNA
Source: RNAcentral
UACGAAGGGGGCGAGCGUUGUUCGGAAUCACUGGGCGUAAAGGGCGCGUAGGCGGCCCUCCUUGUCGCGUGUGAAAACCUGGGGCUCAACCCCGGGCCUGCAGCCGAUACGGGCAAGCUAGAAUUCGGUAGGGGAGACUGGAAUUCCUGGUGUAGCGGUGAAAUGCGCAGAUAUCGGGAGGAACACCUAUGGCGAAGGCAGCUCGCUGGGACGUUACUGACGCUGAGACGCGAAAGCGUGGGGAGCAAACAGG